RNAcentral lists this ribosomal RNA (460 nucleotides) under uncultured Alphaproteobacteria bacterium. Its description in RNAcentral is "bacterial SSU rRNA". It matches the Rfam family "Bacterial small subunit ribosomal RNA", at positions 9 to 516 of the family's 1533-position model. The record is from RNAcentral. Lineage: Bacteria; Pseudomonadati; Pseudomonadota; Alphaproteobacteria.
GAGUUUGAUCGUGGCUCAGAAUGAACGCUGGCGGCAUGCCUAACACAUGCAAGUCGAACGAAGGCUUCGGCCUUAGUGGCGCACGGGUGCGUAACGCGUGGGAAUCUGCCUUGGGGUUCGGAAUAACUCCCCGAAAGGGGUGCUAAUACCGGAUGAUGUCUACGGACCAAAGAUUUAUCGCCCUGAGAUGAGCCCGCGUAGGAUUAGCUAGUUGGUGGGGUAAAGGCCCACCAAGGCGACGAUCCUUAGCUGGUCUGAGAGGAUGAUCAGCCACACUGGGACUGAGACACGGCCCAGACUCCUACGGGAGGCAGCAGUGGGGAAUAUUGGACAAUGGGCGAAAGCCUGAUCCAGCAAUGCCGCGUGAGUGAUGAAGGCCUUAGGGUUGUAAAGCUCUUUUACCCGGGAUGAUAAUGACAGUACCGGAGAAUAAGCUCCGGCUAACUCCGUGCCAGCCGCC